GGUUUGAUUAUGGCUCAGAUUGAACGCUGGCGGGAUGCUUACACAUGCAAGUCGAACGGCAGCACGGACUUCGGUCUGGUGGUUAGUGGCGAACGGGUGAGUAAUGUAUCGGAACGUGCCUAGUAGCGGGGAUAACUACGCGAAAAGCGUAGCCAAUACCGCAUACGCCCUUCGGGGGAAAGCGGGGGACUCCUCGGGGCCUCGCACUAUUAGAGCGGCCGAUAUCGGAUUAGCUAGUUGGUGGGGUAACGGCUCACCAAGGCGACGAUCCGUAGCUGCUCGAGAGGACGACCAGCCACACUGGGACUGAGACACGGCCCAGACUCCUACGGGAGGCAGCAGUGGGGAAUUUUGACAAAUGGGGGAAACCCUGAUCCAGCCAUCCCGCGUGUGCGAUGAAGGCCUUCGGGUUGUAAAGCACUUUUUGGCAGGAAAGAAACGGCACGGGAUAAUACCCCGUGCAACUGACGGUACCUGCAGAAUAAGCACCGGCUAACUACGUGCCAGCAGCCGCGGUAAUACGUAGGGUGCAAGCGUUAAUCGGAAUUACCGGGCGUAAAGCGCAGCGCAGAAAAGUGUCUGGAAAGAAAGAUGUGGAAAAUCCCAGAGCUUAACUUUGGAACUGCAUUUUUAACUACCGAGCUAGAGUGUGUCAGGAGGGAGUAAUUCCGCGGCAGGAAAUGCGCAGAUAUGCGAGGAACACCGAUGGCGAAGGCAGCCUCCUGGGAUAACACUGACGCUCAUGCACGAAAGCGUGGGGAGCAAACAGGAUUAGAUACCCUGGUAGUCCACGCUCAAAACGAUGUCAACUAGCUGUUGGGGCCUUCGCCUUGGUAGCGCAGCUAACGCGUGAAGUUGACCGCCUGGGAGUACGGUCGCAGAUUAAACCAAAGGAAUUGACGGGACCCGCACAAGCGGUGGAUGAUGUGGAUUAAUUCGACGCAACGCGAAAACCUACCUACCCUUGACAUGUCUGGAAUCCUAACAUUUCCGGAGGCUCGCAAGAGAACCGGAACACAGGUGCUGCAUGGCUGUCGUCAGCUCAAAAGCUUGUGAGAUGUUGGGUUAAGUCCUGCAACGAGCAGCAACUCUGUCAUUAGUUGCUACGAAAGGGCACUCUAAUGAGACUCGCUGGGUGACAAAACUGAGGAAGGCGGGAUGACGUCAAGUCCUCAAGGUAGCCCUGGCGGGGUAGGGCUUCACACGUCAUACAAUGGUCGGGACAGAGGGUCGCCAACCGCGAGGGGAGCUAAUCCCAGAAACCCGAUCGUAGUCCGGAUCGCAGUCUGCAACUCGACUGCGUGAAGUCGGAAUCGCUAGUAAUCGUGAUCAGCAUGUCGCGGUGAAUACGUUCCUGGUCUGGUACACACCGCCCGUCACACCAUGGGAGUGGGCUUUACCAGGAAGUAGUUACCCAACCGUAAGGAGGGCGAUUACCACGGUAGGAUUCAUGACUGGGGUGAAGUCGUAACAAGGU
This 1477-nucleotide ribosomal RNA is filed under the name uncultured Bordetella sp. Its description in RNAcentral is "partial 16S-23S ribosomal RNA intergenic spacer". It matches the Rfam family "Bacterial small subunit ribosomal RNA". Lineage: Bacteria; Pseudomonadati; Pseudomonadota; Betaproteobacteria; Burkholderiales; Alcaligenaceae. The record is from RNAcentral.